CGGCGGACGGGUGAGUAACACGUGGAUAACCUACCUAUAAGACUGGAUAACUUCGGGAAACCGGAGCUAAUACCGGAUAAUAUAUUGAACCGCAUGGUUCAAUAGUGAAAGACGGUUUUGCUGUCACUUAUAGAUGGAUCCGCGCCGCAUUAGCUAGUUGGUAAGGUAACGGCUUACCAAGGCAACGAUGCGUAGCCGACCUGAGAGGGUGAUCGGCCACACUGGAACUGAGACACGGUCCAGACUCCUACGGGAGGCAGCAGUC
RNAcentral lists this ribosomal RNA (265 nucleotides) under uncultured Staphylococcus sp. RNAcentral's name for it is "partial 16S ribosomal RNA". It matches the Rfam family "Bacterial small subunit ribosomal RNA", at positions 96 to 355 of the family's 1533-position model. Lineage: Bacteria; Bacillati; Bacillota; Bacilli; Caryophanales; Staphylococcaceae. The record is from RNAcentral.